GAUGAACGCUGGCGGCGUGCCUAAUACAUGCAAGUCGAGCGAACAGACGAGGAGCUUGCUCCUCUGACGUUAGCGGCGGACGGGUGAGUAACACGUGGAUAACCUACCUAUAAGACUGGGAUAACUUCGGGAAACCGGAGCUAAUACCGGAUAAUAUAUUGAACCGCAUGGUUCAAUAGUGAAAGACGGUUUUGCUGUCACUUAUAGAUGGAUCCGCGCCGCAUUAGCUAGUUGGUAAGGUAACGGCUUACCAAGGCAACGAUGCGUAGCCGACCUGAGAGGGGGACCGGCCACCCUGGAACUGAGACACGGCCCAGACUCCUACGGGAGGCAGCAGUGGGGAAUAUUGCACAAUGGGCGGAAGCCUGAUGCAGCGACGCCGCGUGGGGGAUGACGGCCUUCGGUUUGUAAACCCCUUUCGCCGGGGACGAAGCUUUUUGUGACGGUACCGGUAAAAGAAGCCCCGGCAAACUACGU
This 477-nucleotide ribosomal RNA is filed under the name uncultured bacterium. RNAcentral's name for it is "partial 16S ribosomal RNA". It matches the Rfam family "Bacterial small subunit ribosomal RNA", at positions 28 to 506 of the family's 1533-position model. The record is from RNAcentral.